RNAcentral lists this ribosomal RNA (484 nucleotides) under uncultured bacterium. RNAcentral describes it as "bacterial SSU rRNA". It matches the Rfam family "Bacterial small subunit ribosomal RNA", at positions 28 to 507 of the family's 1533-position model. The record is from RNAcentral.
GAUGAACGCUAGCGGGAGGCUUAACACAUGCAAGUCGAGGGGCAGCAUAGGGUAGCAAUACUCUGAUGGCGACCGGCAAACGGGUGAGUAACGCGUAUGCAACCUACCCUGUACAGGGGGAUAACCCGGAGAAAUUCGGACUAAUAUCCCGUAAUAAUAUCCGGAGGCAUCUUUGGAUAUUUAAAGUUCCGACGGUACGGGAUGGGCAUGCGUAACAUUAGCUGGUUGGUAAGGUAACGGCUUACCAAGGCUAUGAUGUUUAGGGGUCCUGAGAGGGUGGUCCCCCAACUGGUACUGAGACACGGACCAGACUCCUCCGGGAGGCAGCAGUGAGGAAUAUUGGUCAAUGGGCGGAAGCCUGAACCAGCCAUGCCGCGUGCAGGAUGACGGCCCUACGGGUUGUAAACUGCUUUUCCCCGGGGCGAAUAACCCCUCGCGAGGGGGGAUGCCGGUACCGGGGAAGUAAGGAUCGGCUAACUCCGUG